This 2923-nucleotide ribosomal RNA is filed under the name Klebsiella pneumoniae. RNAcentral's name for it is "bacterial LSU rRNA". It matches the Rfam family "Bacterial large subunit ribosomal RNA". The record is from RNAcentral. Lineage: Bacteria; Pseudomonadati; Pseudomonadota; Gammaproteobacteria; Enterobacterales; Enterobacteriaceae.
GGGUUGUGAGGUUAAGCGACUAAGCGUACACGGUGGAUGCCCUGGCAGUCAGAGGCGAUGAAGGACGUGCUAAUCUGCGAAAAGCGUCGGUAAGGUGAUAUGAACCGUUAUAACCGGCGAUGUCCGAAUGGGGAAACCCAGUGCAAUUCGUUGCACUAUCGUUAACUGAAUACAUAGGUUAACGAGGCGAACCGGGGGAACUGAAACAUCUAAGUACCCCGAGGAAAAGAAAUCAACCGAGAUUCCCCCAGUAGCGGCGAGCGAACGGGGAGCAGCCCAGAGUCUGAAUCAGCUUGUGUGUUAGUGGAACGGUCUGGAAAGUCCGACGGUACAGGGUGAUAGUCCCGUACACCAAAAUGCACAGGUUGUGAACUCGAAGAGUAGGGCGGGACACGUGGUAUCCUGUCUGAAUAUGGGGGGACCAUCCUCCAAGGCUAAAUACUCCUGACUGACCGAUAGUGAACCAGUACCGUGAGGGAAAGGCGAAAAGAACCCCGGCGAGGGGAGUGAAAAAGAACCUGAAACCGUGUACGUACAAGCAGUGGGAGCACCUUCGGGUGUGACUGCGUACCUUUUGUAUAAUGGGUCAGCGACUUAUAUUCUGUAGCAAGGUUAACCGUAUAGGGGAGCCGCAGGGAAACCGAGUCUUAACUGGGCGUUAAGUUGCAGGGUAUAGACCCGAAACCCGGUGAUCUAGCCAUGGGCAGGUUGAAGGUUGGGUAACACUAACUGGAGGACCGAACCGACUAAUGUUGAAAAAUUAGCGGAUGACUUGUGGCUGGGGGUGAAAGGCCAAUCAAACCGGGAGAUAGCUGGUUCUCCCCGAAAGCUAUUUAGGUAGCGCCUCGUGAACUCAUCUUCGGGGGUAGAGCACUGUUUCGGCUAGGGGGUCAUCCCGACUUACCAACCCGAUGCAAACUACGAAUACCGAAGAAUGUUAUCACGGGAGACACACGGCGGGUGCUAACGUCCGUCGUGAAGAGGGAAACAACCCAGACCGCCAGCUAAGGUCCCAAAGUCAUGGUUAAGUGGGAAACGAUGUGGGAAGGCACAGACAGCCAGGAUGUUGGCUUAGAAGCAGCCAUCAUUUAAAGAAAGCGUAAUAGCUCACUGGUCGAGUCGGCCUGCGCGGAAGAUGUAACGGGGCUAAACCAUGCACCGAAGCUGCGGCAGCGACACUAUGUGUUGUUGGGUAGGGGAGCGUUCUGUAAGCCUGCGAAGGUGUGCUGUGAGGCAUGCUGGAGGUAUCAGAAGUGCGAAUGCUGACAUAAGUAACGAUAAAGCGGGUGAAAAGCCCGCUCGCCGGAAGACCAAGGGUUCCUGUCCAACGUUAAUCGGGGCAGGGUGAGUCGACCCCUAAGGCGAGGCCGAAAGGCGUAGUCGAUGGGAAACAGGUUAAUAUUCCUGUACUUGGUGUUACUGCGAAGGGGGGACGGAGAAGGCUAUGUUAGCCGGGCGACGGUUGUCCCGGUUUAAGCAUGUAGGCUGGUUAUCCAGGCAAAUCCGGAUAAUCAAGGCUGAGGUGUGAUGACGAGGCACUACGGUGCUGAAGUAACAAAUGCCCUGCUUCCAGGAAAAGCCUCUAAGCAUCAGGUAACAUCAAAUCGUACCCCAAACCGACACAGGUGGUCAGGUAGAGAAUACCAAGGCGCUUGAGAGAACUCGGGUGAAGGAACUAGGCAAAAUGGUGCCGUAACUUCGGGAGAAGGCACGCUGGUGUGUAGGUGAAGUCCCUGCGGAUGGAGCUGAGACCAGUCGAAGAUACCAGCUGGCUGCAACUGUUUAUUAAAAACACAGCACUGUGCAAACACGAAAGUGGACGUAUACGGUGUGACGCCUGCCCGGUGCCGGAAGGUUAAUUGAUGGGGUUAUCCGUAAGGAGAAGCUCUUGAUCGAAGCCCCGGUAAACGGCGGCCGUAACUAUAACGGUCCUAAGGUAGCGAAAUUCCUUGUCGGGUAAGUUCCGACCUGCACGAAUGGCGUAAUGAUGGCCAGGCUGUCUCCACCCGAGACUCAGUGAAAUUGAACUCGCUGUGAAGAUGCAGUGUACCCGCGGCAAGACGGAAAGACCCCGUGAACCUUUACUAUAGCUUGACACUGAACAUUGAGCCUUGAUGUGUAGGAUAGGUGGGAGGCUUUGAAGCGUGGACGCCAGUCUGCGUGGAGCCAACCUUGAAAUACCACCCUUUAAUGUUUGAUGUUCUAACGUUGGCCCCUGACCGGGGUUGCGGACAGUGUCUGGUGGGUAGUUUGACUGGGGCGGUCUCCUCCCAAAGCGUAACGGAGGAGCACGAAGGUUAGCUAAUCCUGGUCGGACAUCAGGAGGUUAGUGCAAUGGCAUAAGCUAGCUUGACUGCGAGCGUGACGGCGCGAGCAGGUGCGAAAGCAGGUCAUAGUGAUCCGGUGGUUCUGAAUGGAAGGGCCAUCGCUCAACGGAUAAAAGGUACUCCGGGGAUAACAGGCUGAUACCGCCCAAGAGUUCAUAUCGACGGCGGUGUUUGGCACCUCGAUGUCGGCUCAUCACAUCCUGGGGCUGAAGUAGGUCCCAAGGGUAUGGCUGUUCGCCAUUUAAAGUGGUACGCGAGCUGGGUUUAGAACGUCGUGAGACAGUUCGGUCCCUAUCUGCCGUGGGCGCUGGAGAAUUGAGGGGGGCUGCUCCUAGUACGAGAGGACCGGAGUGGACGCAUCACUGGUGUUCGGGUUGUCAUGCCAAUGGCACUGCCCGGUAGCUAAAUGCGGAAGAGAUAAGUGCUGAAAGCAUCUAAGCACGAAACUUGCCCCGAGAUGAGUUCUCCCUGAGACUNNNNNNNNNNNNNNNNNNNNNNNNNNNNNNNGACGUUGAUAGGCCGGGUGUGUAAGCGCAGCGAUGCGUUGAGCUAACCGGUACUAAUGAACCGUGAGGCUUAACCUUACAACGCCGAAG